Long non-coding RNA from Artibeus jamaicensis (Jamaican fruit-eating bat), 867 nucleotides. RefSeq lists it as uncharacterized. The transcript is spliced from 5 exons. Lineage: Eukaryota; Metazoa; Chordata; Mammalia; Chiroptera; Phyllostomidae. The record is from RefSeq and is a predicted model, not a curated record.
GGGAAAAUGUACGCAGUGGAGGCAGAGUCAGCUCUGUAUGUGGGUGGCUAGGUUUUCCUGUUAAGAAUCAGGCCUUAACUCACGAGAUGAGUGGAUCAGGAAAGCAGCUUCCUGGUUUGCAACCAGCACUACAAAAAUAAGUGAACGGAAUAGAAACACCCACCGCCAUCGAAUGCAGCAGCAGCGAUGCUGCUGCACGGAGCACCUUCCACAGGCCUCUCGCUCGUCCUCACCGGUGCUCCGGCUCACAGAGCCCCGUGACUCUGUCCGCCACGUGGGAAAGCAUGAGGCCUCGGCAUUGUCUUAAGUUUCCUGUCUUCCUUGUUAUUAUUUCUCCUUUUCCAGAUGCCACGGAGUCGGACUCAUUCAGUUCGUGGCCUUUUCGGACGUGCAGUCAGGCCUCCUCUGCGUUUUUCCUGCCUGUUACCGCCGAGCAGUAUUCUACUGCCCGGAUGGGCUGAGGGUCGCUCACCCGUCACCUGUGGAAGGACAGCUUUGUCGCUUCCAAUUUUUGUCCAGACGCUCCCCGAGCCCUCUGGCCCCUCAGUUCCUUCGUUUCCUCCUCUGCGAGAUGGGGCUGCCGCCGCCACUGGCAACUGCAGGGAGCACCCACCGAGGAAGGCAACGUCCACCAGGACGGCCACUGCUUACAUCGGGACGGGGACAGAGCGGUGUCGUCCACUCGAGGACAACACGAGGACUCUCAGCCGGACCCAGCAGCAAGCCCCGGCCUGUUGGCAGAGUAGUUAAUUUUCUGAAUUGCUGGUUUAGAAAAGCAUUGAUUUCUCAACUGAAUUCCAUUUAUUCCCAAAUCUGAAAGGCCAUGCUUUAAGAAAAUUCAAUAAAUAAAAAUUGCAACUGGUGAGA